GUCGAACGGCAGCACAGAAGAGCUUGCUCUUUGGGUGGCGAGUGGCGGACGGGUGAGUAAUGUCUGGGAAACUGCCCGAUGGAGGGGGAUAACUACUGGAAACGGUAGCUAAUACCGCAUAACGUCGCAAGACCAAAGUGGGGGACCUUCGGGCCUCACACCAUCGGAUGUGCCCAGAUGGGAUUAGCUAGUAGGUGGGGUAAUGGCUCACCUAGGCGACGAUCCCUAGCUGGUCUGAGAGGAUGACCAGCCACACUGGAACUGAGACACGGUCCAGACUCCUACGGGAGGCAGCAGUGGGGAAUAUUGCACAAUGGGCGCAAGCCUGAUGCAGCCAUGCCGCGUGUAUGAAGAAGGCCUUCGGGUUGUAAAGUACUUUCAGCGGGGAGGAAGGCGGUGAGGUUAAUAACCUCGCCGAUUGACGUUACCCGCAGAAGAAGCACCGGCUAACUCCGUGCCAGCAGCCGCGGUAAUACGGAGGGUGCAAGCGUUAAUCGGAAUUACUGGGCGUAAAGCGCACGCAGGCGGUCUGUUAAGUCAGAUGUGAAAUCCCCGGGCUUA
This 561-nucleotide ribosomal RNA is filed under the name Pantoea dispersa. RNAcentral's name for it is "bacterial SSU rRNA". It matches the Rfam family "Bacterial small subunit ribosomal RNA", at positions 61 to 611 of the family's 1533-position model. Lineage: Bacteria; Pseudomonadati; Pseudomonadota; Gammaproteobacteria; Enterobacterales; Erwiniaceae. The record is from RNAcentral.